This 1986-nucleotide long non-coding RNA is filed under the name Helianthus annuus (common sunflower). RNAcentral describes it as "hypothetical non coding rna". Lineage: Eukaryota; Viridiplantae; Streptophyta; Magnoliopsida; Asterales; Asteraceae. The record is from RNAcentral.
UAAAACACCACCUUAAUAGAUAAUAAUACUUAAAAAGGACACAAACGGGAUUUAAUAAAUUAUCCCAAAGUCCAAAACUAAAAAAAAAAAUACAAAUUUACCAAACUACCCACUAAAAACUGAAGUGGUGAGCACUGCAAUUGCCAAAAAUUCCAUCACAGGCAUCCCCCAUCUUCCCUAAAUUACAAAAUAAACCCAUAAUUACCCUAUAAAAUUACAAAAACACCCUUAUGUAAUUUUUUUCUACCGAAAAACUAACAUACUUCUAAAUACUCUUAUAAUGCACGCAGUCCACUAGAUUGAACCCCAAUCAAUCUCGUAGGACGGAUGCUUCUCCAACGAGAAAUUAUCCGUCCACCCGCCAUUGUCGUCUUCGGUGAACUCCAAAAACGUCAGAUCCGAAGACGGCGAUGAGUUUCCCGAUCCACCGUACCCUUCCGACCAACCGCCAUUGUCCUCUUCCACCUUAACAACCUCUGGCGCCGCCGCCGCCGUCUUCGCCUUUGACCGCCGUUGACCAGACUUUUUACAACCGUCAACGGACUUUCCUUCAGCCAAACACUGACAAAUGGUUUGUAACUUAGCAACAACUGAAGAAUGUAACGGCUUGAAGUCGGCUAACUCCGAGCCGCCGUUAUGACGGAGGUUUGGGAAGUUGAGCCGCGCGUAGUCUCCACGGAGCUUGUACGCGGCUUUGUCGUAAGCCAGCGCGGCUUCUUCGGCUGAGUCGAAUGUACCCAGCCAAAGCCGGGUUCGACUCUUGGGUAAACGGAUCUCCGCGACCCAUUUACCCCAGUGUCUUUGUCUUACACCUCUAUAAAGCUUUGCGGGUUUUGGUGGGGACCCGGUUGUAAUAACCGGGUCCGAAGGUGUGAAGUUAAAGUGAUUUUGUGGCCAUUGUGUUUGUGUUGGGAAUUGAGAUUGUAAUUGUGGUUGUGAUUGUACUUCCAUUUGGUUUUGGAACUGGUGGGUCGGGUUGAAUUGGGUCAACCCGAGUGAAGAUCCGGGUUGGUUGUACCCGGAUUGGUCUGGGAGAGAGUAACCCGGGUACAACCCGGAUUCUUGAAUGGUAGAGAAGAUGUAGUCAGAAGAAGAAGGGAUAAAAGAGUCAAAAGACGAAGAAGGGUAUGGAUAAGAAGUAGGGGGAGAAGAAAAAGGGAGGGUAUUUUGGUAAUUUGACGAGUCAAUUGGAGCACUUUUGAUAAAAGGUUCAAGUGCAUCCAUUAAUUCACCACCAGGCUGAAAUUGAAACUCAUUUUCAUUCCAGAAAUUCAUAGCAGCUGAAGCCAUUAAUUUUUUUUUAAUUUUUUUAUAAAAUAUUCUAAAGGAAAAUAAAUAAAUUAAAAAAAAGACGAUUUUCUAGGGAGAAAAAUACCAGGAAAAUCAAGAUGGGUUUUUUUAAUAAAAAUUAAAAACCCAAAUUCCAAUAAAAAUUAAAAAAAAAAACAACUUUUAGGGAACAAAAAUAAUCCCUAAAAAGGUGAUUUUGAAGAAGAAAUAGAACCCAAUUUAAAAAAGAUGGAUCUCUAUUCUGAAAACACCAGACUCUCUUUAAAAAAAAAUUAAAUCAAGUUUGCUUUUUUGUUCAUUAAUUAAUAAUAAUCUUGAAAAUCAACAAAAACAAACCCAAAACAUUUAUAUUUUUUUUUUGUAGUUGAAAGACCAGAUGAUUACAGAAAGGGAUACACAGAAGCGGGGAUUAUAAGAAGGGGGGGAUUUUUUAAAAACUUUAAGAAAAUCAGCACAUAAUAAAAAAAGAAAACUUUUAAGUGUGUGUUUUUAGUGUGUGAAGAAUAGGAAGCUCUCAAGACCUCACUUUUGUGUGUUUGAGUAUUUGGGUAAGGAGAAGGGGUGUUUUAUAGGUGAAGCUAACUGGGUUAAGUGAUGGAGUUAACCAUGGUAAAAACGCGUAUAGGGGGUAGUCAAGUGCCGGUGAAAACGGGACAUCUGUCGGUUAAAGGGUCUGGUUUUAAGUUAUGGGUUUGA